CCUACGGGUGGCAGCAGUGGGGAAUAUUGCGCAAUGGGCGAAAGCCUGACGCAGCGACGCCGCGUGAGGGAUGAAGGUCUUCGGAUCGUAAACCUCUGUCAGCAGGGAAGAACGGUCACUGUGCUAAUCAGCAGUGAAUUGACGGUACCUGCAAAGGAAGCACCGGCUAACUCCGUGCCAGCAGCCGCGGUAAUACGGAGGGUGCGAGCGUUAAUCGGAAUUACUGGGCGUAAAGCGCUCGUAGGCGGUAUGUCAAGUCAAGGGUGAAAUCCCCGCGCUCAACGUGGGAACUGCCUUUGAAACUGGCAAACUGGAGUGGGUGAGAGGAUAGUGGAAUUCCAGGUGUAGGAGUGAAGUCCGUAGAUAUCUGGAGGAACAUCAGUGGCGAAGGCGACUAUCUGGAACAUAACUGACGCUGAGGAGCGAAAGCGUGGGUAGCAAACAGGAUUAGAUACCCUAGUAGU
RNAcentral lists this ribosomal RNA (464 nucleotides) under uncultured bacterium. Its description in RNAcentral is "partial 16S ribosomal RNA". It matches the Rfam family "Bacterial small subunit ribosomal RNA", at positions 338 to 794 of the family's 1533-position model. The record is from RNAcentral.